CCUACGGGUGGCAGCAGUGGGGAAUAUUGGACAAUGGGCGAAAGCCUGAUCCAGCCAUGCCGCGUGUGUGAAGAAGGCCUUCGGGUUGUAAAGCACUUUCAGUGGGGAAGAAAGCCUUGGGGCUAAUACCCUCGAGGAAGGACAUCACCCACAGAAGAAGCACCGGCUAACUCCGUGCCAGCAGCCGCGGUAAUACGGAGGGUGCGAGCGUUAAUCGGAAUUACUGGGCGUAAAGCGGGCGUAGGCGGUCUGAUAAGCCGGUUGUGAAAGCCCCGGGCUCAACCUGGGAACGGCAUCCGGAACUGUCAGGCUAGAGUGCAGGAGAGGAAGGUAGAAUUCCCGGUGUAGCGGUGAAAUGCGUAGAGAUCGGGAGGAAUACCAGUGGCGAAGGCGGCCUUCUGGACUGACACUGACGCUGAGGUGCGAAAGCGUGGGUAGCAAACAGGAUUAGAUACCCGAGUAGUC
This 465-nucleotide ribosomal RNA is filed under the name Vreelandella stevensii. RNAcentral describes it as "partial 16S ribosomal RNA". It matches the Rfam family "Bacterial small subunit ribosomal RNA", at positions 338 to 795 of the family's 1533-position model. Lineage: Bacteria; Pseudomonadati; Pseudomonadota; Gammaproteobacteria; Oceanospirillales; Halomonadaceae. The record is from RNAcentral.